UCCGAAGGGGGCUCGCGUUGUUCGGCAUCACUGGGCGUAAAGCGCACGUAGGCGGAUCUUUAAGUCAGGGGUGAAAUCCCGAGGCUCAACCUCGGAACUGCCUUUGAUACUGGGGAUCUCGAGUCCGGGAGAGGUGAGUGGAACUGCGAGUGUAGAGGUGAAAUUCGUAGAUAUUCGCAAGAACACCAGUGGCGAAGGCGGCGCACUGGCCCGGAACUGACGCUGAGGUGCGAAAGCGUGGGGAGCAAACAGG
This 253-nucleotide ribosomal RNA is filed under the name uncultured bacterium. RNAcentral describes it as "partial 16S ribosomal RNA". It matches the Rfam family "Bacterial small subunit ribosomal RNA", at positions 524 to 776 of the family's 1533-position model. The record is from RNAcentral.